This 853-nucleotide ribosomal RNA is filed under the name Nigrohirschioporus durus. Its description in RNAcentral is "Nigroporus durus partial large subunit ribosomal RNA". It matches the Rfam family "Eukaryotic large subunit ribosomal RNA", at positions 76 to 915 of the family's 3401-position model. Lineage: Eukaryota; Fungi; Basidiomycota; Agaricomycetes; Hymenochaetales; Hirschioporaceae. The record is from RNAcentral.
UCCCCUAGUAACUGCGAGUGAAGCGGGAAAAGCUCAAAUUUAAAAUCUGGCGGCUUUGUCGUCCGAGUUGUAAUCUGGAGAAGCGUUUUCCGUGUCGGACCGUGUACAAGUCUCUUGGAACAGAGCGUCAUAGAGGGUGAGAAUCCCGUAUAUGACACGGACAACCGAUACUUUGUGAUACGCUCUCGAAGAGUCGAGUUGUUUGGGAAUGCAGCUCAAAAGGGGUGGUAAAUUCCAUCUAAAGCUAAAUAUAGGCGAGAGACCGAUAGCGAACAAGUACCGUGAGGGAAAGAUGAAAAGCACUUUGGAAAGAGAGUUAAACAGUACGUGAAAUUGUUGAAAGGGAAACGCUUGAAGUCAGUCGCGUCUGCCGAGACUCAGCCUUACCUCGGUUUGGUGUACUUCUCGGUUGGACGGGUCAACAUCGGUUUUGACCGACGGAUAAGGGAGGAGGGAAUGUGGCACCUCCGGGUGUGUUAUAGCUCUCUUUCGUAUACGCCGGUGGGGACCGAGGACUGCAGCGCGCCCUUGUGGCCGAGGCUUUGCCUACGUUACGCGCUUAGGAUGUUGACAUAAUGGCUUUAAGCGACCCGUCUUGAAACACGGACCAAGGAGUCUAACAUGCUCGCGAGUGUUAGGGUGGAAAACCCUUGCGCGGAAUGAAAGUGAAAGUUGGGACCUCCGCGAGGAGGGCACCGACGCCCGGCCCUGAAGUUCUCUGACGGUGCUGCGGUAGAGCGCGUAUGUUGGGACCCGAAAGAUGGUGAACUAUGCCUGAAUAGGGCGAAGCCAGAGGAAACUCUGGUGGAGGCUCGUAGCGAUUCUGACGUGCAAAUCGAUCGUCAAAUUUGGG